GACGAACGCUGGCGGCGUGCUUAACACAUGCAAGUCGAGCGGAAAGGCCCUUUCGGGGGUACUCGAGCGGCGAACGGGUGAGUAACACGUGAGUAAUCUGCCCUUGGCUUUGGGAUAACCACCGGAAACGGUGGCUAAUACCGGAUAUGACGGGCUCCGGCAUCGGGGUUCGUGGAAAGUUUUUUCGGCCAGGGAUGUGCUCGCGGCCUAUCAGCUUGUUGGUGGGGUAAUGGCCUACCAAGGCUUCGACGGGUAGCCGGCCUGAGAGGGUGACCGGCCACACUGGGACUGAGACACGGCCCAGACUCCUACGGGAGGCAGCAGUGGGGAAUAUUGGACAAUGGGCGAAAGCCUGAUCCAGCAACGCCGCGUGAGGGAUGACGGCC
Molecule: ribosomal RNA, 386 nt
Filed under: uncultured bacterium
Lineage: Bacteria
Description: bacterial SSU rRNA
Rfam family: Bacterial small subunit ribosomal RNA
Source: RNAcentral